GGCUCCGUAGCUCAACUGGAUAGAGCACCCGCCUUCUAAGCGGAUGGUUACAGGUUCGAACCCUGUCGGGGCCGCCA
Molecule: transfer RNA, 77 nt
Filed under: Rhodospirillaceae bacterium
Lineage: Bacteria; Pseudomonadati; Pseudomonadota; Alphaproteobacteria; Rhodospirillales; Rhodospirillaceae
Also listed under: 1 other name
Description: tRNA-Arg
Rfam family: tRNA
About the family: Transfer RNA (tRNA) molecules are approximately 80 nucleotides in length.
Source: RNAcentral